GACGAACGCUGGCGGCGUGCUUCAUACAUGCAAGUCGAACGAGAAGCUCACUUCGGUGAGUGGAAAGUGGCGGACGGGUGAGUAAUAUGUAGAGAAUCUGCCCUAGAGAGGGGGACAACAGAGGGAAACUUCUGCUAAUACCCCAUAUGCGCGUAGUUGAGAUACUAUUCGUGAAAGAUUUAUCGCUCUGGGAUGAGUCUGCAUCUGAUUAGCUAGUUGGGGGUGUAAUGGACCACCAAGGCGACGAUCAGUAGCUGGUUUGAGAGGAUGAUCAGCCACAAUGGGACUGAGACACGGCCCAU
RNAcentral lists this ribosomal RNA (302 nucleotides) under uncultured bacterium. RNAcentral describes it as "bacterial SSU rRNA". It matches the Rfam family "Bacterial small subunit ribosomal RNA", at positions 28 to 334 of the family's 1533-position model. The record is from RNAcentral.